CGGGGCUAAAACUAUAUGCCGAAGCUGCGGAUUUGCAAUUUAUUGCAAGUGGUAGGGGAGCGUUCUGUAAGCCGAUGAAGGUGUAUUGAGAAGUAUGCUGGAGGUAUCAGAAGUGCGAAUGCUGACGUGAGUAACGACAAUGCGAGUGAAAAACUCGCACGCUGAAAGACCAAGGGUUCCAGUCCAACGUUAAUCGGGGCUGGGUGAGUCGACCCCUAAGGCGAGGCCGAAAGGCGUAGUCGAUGGAAAGCAGGUUAAUAUUCCUGCACCAGUGCAUACUGCGAUGGGAGGACGGAGAAGGCUAGGC
Molecule: ribosomal RNA, 307 nt
Filed under: Skeletonema marinoi
Lineage: Eukaryota; Bacillariophyta; Thalassiosirophyceae; Thalassiosirales; Thalassiosiraceae
Description: partial Bacterial large subunit ribosomal RNA
Rfam family: Bacterial large subunit ribosomal RNA
Source: RNAcentral